GGAUGAAAAGAAAGAGGGUGGAAGCACUUGCUACAAUUACUAAUGUGGAAACCUCUGAAACAUCAAGCUGGCAAACAGAUUAUGGCACAAUCUUUAGACAAAGAGACUGCUUUAAAGACAGGAUAAAUUAUUAACUGGAGGCGCUAACGUUGGGAAAACAAAAGGCUCAAGGACACACAUACAGUAGUUCUCAACCUGCAAUAGCAUGGGGGAUGUUUUUCGACUGAUACUGGAAGUGCAGAAUUAGCAUAACGGCAGUCAUUACUCCAGAGUCUCUGAACUCUUUGAUGCUCUUGCUGUGAGCAGAAUGUGCCCCAGCGUGCUAUGUUCCACUCAUUGAGAAAAUGAAGGAUUCGAAGAGACUGCGAAUUAAUGAUCUCCAGUUGGCCAGUUUCACUUGUGUAGGUAACAGCAGGGGAGCACAGUGCUUCAUUUGAGCUGCUCUGAGGCAAUGGUCCAUGCCUUGCCUUGUGGAACCCUGUUGGGAAUCAGAGGUUAUUCAGAUUUUACAGUUUGCAUCUCAUGGAAAGAUCACUUGACACUAAUCAGAAAAACACCCACUGAAUUAAUAAUUAUGCUGUGGGAGACACAAACAAAAUGCACAUGAGAUGGCUCCCAACUUCCCAGCAGUGUGUGCUGCCUAGAGGCUCAGUGGCUACGGUCUUACUGUGGCCAUGUAUGUCAAAGGAAGGCCAGU
This 697-nucleotide long non-coding RNA is filed under the name Anser cygnoides (Swan goose). RNAcentral's name for it is "lncRNA (ENSACDG00005017729.1)". The record is from RNAcentral. Lineage: Eukaryota; Metazoa; Chordata; Aves; Anseriformes; Anatidae.